UGUUUGGCUGUGAAGAGAAUGAGUAGAUUUAAUUAAUGUAUCUAGAGAAGAAGUGGCUGGUGAAAACUUCUUACAUAUUAAAUUGAAGCUGUCUUGGAGCUGAUUUUCUUGAGUGAUGCUAAGAUUUUAGCAUAAUUAGGGUGGUACCGCGGAAGUUAUGUCUUUCGUCCCUUGU
RNAcentral lists this non-coding RNA (175 nucleotides) under Clostridium intestinale. RNAcentral's name for it is "T-box sequence". It matches the Rfam family "T-box leader". From Rfam's summary of the family: Uncharged tRNA acts as the effector for transcription antitermination of genes in the T-box leader family. The record is from RNAcentral. Lineage: Bacteria; Bacillati; Bacillota; Clostridia; Eubacteriales; Clostridiaceae.